UACAGAGGGUGCGAGCGUUAAUCGGAAUUACUGGGCGUAAAGGGUGCGUAGGUGGUUUUGUAAGUUAGGUGUGAAAUCCCCGGGCUCAACCUGGGAAUGGCAUUUGGGACUGCAAGGCUGGAGUGUGGCAGAGGAGACUGGAAUUCCUGGUGUAGCAGUGAAAUGCGUAGAUAUCAGGAGGAAUACCGAUGGCGAAGGCAGUGUCCUGGGGAGUGUCUGACGCUCAGGCGCGAAAGCUAGGGGAGCGAACAGG
RNAcentral lists this ribosomal RNA (253 nucleotides) under uncultured bacterium. RNAcentral's name for it is "partial 16S ribosomal RNA". It matches the Rfam family "Bacterial small subunit ribosomal RNA", at positions 524 to 776 of the family's 1533-position model. The record is from RNAcentral.